GCGAUAGGUAGGGCCGGGAGAAUAGCCGCCUCCCACUAUCCCGCAGUCGGCUAUAGCGGGGGCCAGUAACCAUUAGGUAAAACGCCUAAACAAGGAAACCGUUAACUCAAUCCCAAAAUGAACUCGCGCCGUGAUGGGUGGACGCAAUAGGCGCUUCCUUCGAAAGAAGGAAGACGACCUUCAACUACCGAACCGGGUGAGGCCCGGGAGGGAGCAACCCUAAGGUAGGGCGUCCACGCUAUCACGUCUACGUGAGGGAUUGGGUAGAGUUAAUAGGCCCUGUUUAGGUGUGAAUACUAAUGGAGCUAUCGC
This 312-nucleotide signal recognition particle RNA is filed under the name Nitrososphaeria archaeon. RNAcentral describes it as "signal recognition particle sRNA". It matches the Rfam family "Archaeal signal recognition particle RNA". The record is from RNAcentral. Lineage: Archaea; Thermoproteati; Nitrososphaerota; Nitrososphaeria.